This 253-nucleotide ribosomal RNA is filed under the name uncultured bacterium. RNAcentral describes it as "partial 16S ribosomal RNA". It matches the Rfam family "Bacterial small subunit ribosomal RNA", at positions 524 to 776 of the family's 1533-position model. The record is from RNAcentral.
UACAGAGGUCUCAACCGUUGUUCGGAUUCAUUGGGCGUAAAGGGUGCGUAGGCGGCGGGGUAAGUCAGGUGUGAAAUCUCGGGGCUCAACCCCGAAACUGCACUUGAUACUGCCUCGCUUGAGUACUGGAGAGGAGACUGGAAUUUACGGUGUAGCAGUGAAAUUCGUAGAUAUCGGGAGGAACACCAGCGGCGAAGGCGGCCAUCUGGACAGAUAUUGACGCUGAUGUGCGAAAGCGUGGGGAGCAAACAGG